GGCAGUGACGGUUAACGGGGGAUUAGGGUUCGAUUCCGGAGAGGGAGCCUGAGAAACGGCUACCACAUCUAAGGAAGGCAGCAGGCGCGCAAAUUACCCAAUUCUAACAGCAUAAGAGAGGUAGUGACAAGAAAUAACAAUACAAGGCAGUUAAAAUGCUUUGUAAUUGGAAUGAUAGAAAUUUAAACACUUUUUAAAGUAUCAAUUGGAGGGCAAGUCUGGUGCCAGCAGCCGCGGUAAUUCCAGCUCCAAUAGCGUAUAUUAAAAUUGUUGCAGUUAAAAAGCUCGUAGUUGAAUUUCUGCUAAAAAUAACCGGUCUGCUUUUAACAAAAGUGGUAUCUUGGUGUGUUUUUAGCAAUAAUGUCCUUUGAAAUGUGUUUUACUUUGUUGUAAAAGACAAUAUUCAGGAUUUUUACUUUGAGAAAAUUAGAGUGUUUCUAGCAAGCUAAUGUUUUGAAUACUGCAGCAUGGAAUAAUAAAAUAGAAUUUUAGUUCUACAUUGUUGGUUUUAAGAGCUGAAUUAAUGAUUGAUAGG
RNAcentral lists this ribosomal RNA (535 nucleotides) under Hepatozoon sp. JPMCM-2012. RNAcentral describes it as "bacterial SSU rRNA". It matches the Rfam family "Eukaryotic small subunit ribosomal RNA", at positions 348 to 876 of the family's 1831-position model. Lineage: Eukaryota; Apicomplexa; Hepatozoidae. The record is from RNAcentral.